Molecule: ribosomal RNA, 836 nt
Filed under: uncultured marine bacterium
Lineage: Bacteria
Description: bacterial SSU rRNA
Rfam family: Bacterial small subunit ribosomal RNA
Source: RNAcentral
UGGCUCAGAACGAACGCUGGCGGCAGGCGUAACACAUGCAAGUCGAGCGCACCUUCGGGUGAGCGGCGGACGGGUUAGUAACGCGUGGGAAUAUACCCAGAUCUACGGAAUAGCCUCGGGAAACUGAGAGUAAUACCGUAUACGCCCUUCGGGGGAAAGAUUUAUCGGAUUUGGAUUAGCCCGCGUUGGAUUAGGUAGUUGGUGGGGUAAUGGCCUACCAAGCCUACGAUCCAUAGCUGGUUUGAGAGGAUGAUCAGCAACACUGGGACUGAGACACGGCCCAGACUCCUACGGGAGGCAGCAGUGGGGAAUCUUAGACAAUGGGGGAAACCCUGAUCUAGCCAUGCCGCGUGAGUGACGAAGGCCCUAGGGUCGUAAAGCUCUUUCAACUGUGAAGAUAAUGACGGUAGCAGUAGAAGAAACCCCGGCUAACUCCGUGCCAGCAGCCGCGGUAAUACGGAGGGGGUUAGCGUUGUUCGGAAUUACUGGGCGUAAAGCGCACGUAGGCGGACUAUUAAGUCAGGGGUGAAAUCCCGGGGCUCAACCCCGGAACUGCCUCUGAUACUGGUAGUCUUGAGUUCGAGAGAGGUGAGUGGAAUUCCGAGUGUAGAGGUGAAAUUCGUAGAUAUUCGGAGGAACACCAGUGGCGAAGGCGGCUCACUGGCUCGAUACUGACGCUGAGGUGCGAAAGUGUGGGGAGCAAACAGGAUUAGAUACCCUGGUAGUCCACACCGUAAACGAUGAAUGCCAGACGUCGGGCAGUAUACUGUUCGGUGUCACACCUAACGCAUUAAGCUUCCCGCCUGGGGAGUACGGUCGCAAGAUUAAAACUCAAA